GUAUUUUACUCAUAUUAUGGUAAAUUUAUUUGAAAGUGUUUGCUGUGAGUUUUGACAGAUUCCUAACGUCAAUCCUCAAUGAUCAUUGAUUUGUUUUCGUCGUUGCUUGCUCAAUUGCUUUCGUCGUUCGGUCCGGUCUGUUCGCAAAAAAAAGUGAAAAUCGACGAUUGUGGAAAAAUUUGCGUCUCAUUCCGGGAAGUACCGGUGGAAUCUGUGUUAUUGUUACGUUUCGGUAACACUUCAGGAAUUUCUUAGGGAGAAUUCUUCUGAAAGUCCUCCAUGAAAUCCAUCGUAGUCCUCCGGGAAAUCCAAUGAGAAGUCCUCCAUGAAAUUCUGCGGGAAGUCCUCCAGGAAAUUCUUCGCGAUGUCCUUCAAGAAAUUCUGCGUGAAGCCCAUCGUGAAGUCCUACAAGAAAUCCUUCGGGUUAAAUGCUAAUUUCACCAGGGAUUGAGAUCAACGGAGAAAAUUUAAUGUACCUGUUCGACCAGGAGAAUGCUUACGAGAUGACGAGAGAAACAUAACAUUCGUUUCGGCUUUUGGUUAAGGAGAAACUGAAAUACCGUAAAAGGGUCCCCAGAAUGAAGAGCGCAGCAGCGAGUUUUAACAGUAAGUCAAAGCCUGCCGCUGCCACUGCGCUAACCAUGCUGGAUGGACCGGAACCUCACCGAAGUUGCAACAGCUUAGAACGCCGAUAUCCGAGGAGCAGCAAAGAUGUUUGCGAACGCAAAUCUAUGGGCAGCCCGCAAGCUGUCGUGUCGUUCGGGAGUGAAAUAUACGAUGCCGGAUGCCUGAAAUUAAUCAACGAACAAUCCACCUCUACGUUGGCUGGGUCUUACGUACACAGCAAGGAGAAGAAUAAAAAACCCUUGGCAGUGGGCUCUGGUCAACCACUACAAGCAAGCAGGCCCUAUCAAAGCGACCGUGUGUCGCUCAAAGCGCACAGCAACCGCAUAGCACAGUCGUCAGUCGUGCGAGUUAUUAUUCAUCGAAGCUUGCACAGGACUUCACAGGACGCCUCUGGAAAAAGGAGCAUCACAAGGAAUGCUCGUUGGAUGCUUUGCCGAUACGGCCACGGUUAGGAUUCGCUUUGCCUGUUAAGGACAGGAGAUCUCCCUCGUAUUUCUGAUGGAACCGGAGACCAAGCUGUUCUCUGCUAACCUUUUUGAAGCCACAAGCAAACCUCCAAACCUAGGUAGUACUCCAAGUUACUUAGCCGUUUGUCAGCUGCAGUUCUUCCAACGAGGUUGACGGUUGAGAUGAAUCUUGUGCACAACCGUGAUCCGAUCGGCGUCUCCAUUAAAAAUAUGUUCUUGCCGUUGGUCAAGCUUAUUGACAGACUAUCGAACGCUAUCUACAUUUCUUGCGCUUCUGUGUUUGGGUCAACGAUGAAAGCGUUGAGGAGAACGCCAAUCUUGUCAUUCGUCUGUUGAUCCGACGUACGGAAUGCUUCGGUCCUGCGCUUCGUGGUGAAGGUUUGAUGAAGGCUAUCAACGAAGCCAACAAGAUGUCCGAAAAGAUUUCAAGGCGUAGGAAGAAGCAGGAUGAGGCAGAAGAUACGAUCACUGGUCUAGGCUUCUCGCAUCCUCUUUCAGAGAGAUAGACGACGACAAAGAUUACAUGGAUACCAGAGCUGUCGUUCUGUGCUUCUAUUGAACACUGGUGGAUACGUUGUGCACCGGAUGCAUCGGUGAUCAAACAAGGCAAAAACGAAUCAUUGCGAGCUCUGCCAUUCUACGCUCCUUGGUACCGUCGGAAGAUUUUUGAGUAGUUCUGGUUUUGUUAACAUUGACUAACACGGCGAAGGAAGGCCAAAGUCCGACAAAGUCCGCGGUUCCAAAUGGCUCCAGUGAAGCCGGUGGACCCCUUCCAAACAAUUCAAACAACAAUGACGUCGGCGUGCGUACACCCGCUUUCAAUGAUUCCUGCGAUCGACGCUUCUGGACGGACCCGAAGGGUGAAUUCGAGAGCAAUGUUGUAAAUACAGAGCCCUAACUGAUGGGUAAAAACGCAGCCGGUGCGACCAGACUUCCAUAGCAAUCUCCAGUUCACAUUAAUCUGCCAACGUUUCCAACACUGCCGUAAUAAUAAAUUACCUUAAUUAUUACGAAUACAUAUUUUAGGAUCACUUAAAAACGAACUUUUGAUAGGAAGUCCGGAAAUCCAUUAUACAUCAAUCGACUCAGCUCGAAAAAUUAAUUGAUUGGUGUACUGCCCUUCUACGCAUAGUUGUCCCAUGUUAGUUUUUGUGGAUUUUGACUUUUCACCAUAGAGCAGUCUAUUUUGAUGUAUACUUUUAGAAAACUUUAACAGAUUUCGAACUUUGUUCGGAAAAUCAUUGAAAACAACAUCAAGUCUAUUCGUCCCAUUGCUUACAUUCUACGCAUAAAUGUCUCGCGGUGAUUAAAUUCAUCAUUAUGGCGGAUUCUGUUAUUUUAUGCAGCAACGCACAUUGAACUAUCAUUUUCUGUUUAGAUCUUGCAAUCUUAGCCUGUUGCACUGGUUUAAUGGGGACAAUUUGUACAAUACUCAUUC
Molecule: long non-coding RNA, 2532 nt
Organism: Armigeres subalbatus
Lineage: Eukaryota; Metazoa; Arthropoda; Insecta; Diptera; Culicidae
Exons: 3
Source: RefSeq, a predicted model, not a curated record